RNAcentral lists this ribosomal RNA (2202 nucleotides) under human gut metagenome. Its description in RNAcentral is "bacterial LSU rRNA". It matches the Rfam family "Bacterial large subunit ribosomal RNA", at positions 14 to 2261 of the family's 2925-position model. The record is from RNAcentral.
AGUGUAUGUGGUGGAUGCCUUGGCGAUCACAGGCGAUGAAGGACGUGACAGCCUGCGAAAAGCUGUGGGGAGCUGGCAAAUAAGCUUUGAUCCACAGAUGUCCGAAUGAGGGAACUCACCUGCUUUGCAGGUAUCCCAUCCUGAAUAUAUAGGGAUGGGAGGCGAACGAAGCGAACUGAAACAUCUAAGUAGCUUCAGGAAAAGAAAUCAACCGAGAUUCCGAAAGUAGCGGCGAGCGAAAUCGGAUCAGCCCAGCACUCGAUAGCAGCCAACUUACGGGAACGGUCUGGAAAGUCCGGCCAUAGAGGGUGAUAGCCCCUUACUGGAAAAGGCAGCUGUGGUACUAAGUGUGCGAUAAGUAGAGCGGGACACGUGACAUCCUGCUCGAAGAUGGGGGGACCAUCCUCCAAGGCUAAAUACUCGUGAUCGACCGAUAGCGUACCAGUACUGUGAAGGAAAGGUUAAAAGAACCCCGGGAGGGGAGUGAAAUAGAUCCUGAAACCGCAUACAUACAAACAGUAGGAGCCUCGUUAAGGGGUGACUGCGUACCUUUUGCAUAAUGGGUCAGCGACUUACGUUUAAUGGCGAGCUUAACCGUAUAGGGGAGGCGCAGCGAAAGCGAGUUCGAACAGAGCGUUCAGUCGUUAGGCGUAGACCCGAAACCAGAUGAUCUAUCCAUGGCCAGGUUGAAGGUGUGGUAACACACACUGGAGGACCGAACCGACUAGUGUUGCAAAAUUAGCGGAUGAGCUGUGGAUAGGGGUGAAAGGCUAAACAAAUCUGGAGAUAGCUGGUUCUCCCCGAAAACUAUUGAGGUAGUGCCUCGUGUAUGACUCCAGGGGGUAGAGCACUGUUAUGGCUAGGGGGACAUGGCGUCUUACCAAACCAUGGCAAACUCCGAAUACUUGGAAGUUUGAGCACGGGAGACAGAGCACCGGGUGCUAACGUCCGGACUCAAGAGGGAAACAACCCAGACCGCCGGCUAAGGUCCCUAAUAUUGACUAAGUGGAAAACGAAGUGGAAAGGCUAAGACAGUCAGGAAGUUGGCUUAGAAGCAGCCAUCCUUCAAAGAAAGCGUAAUAGCUCACUGAUCGAGUCUUUCUGCGCGGAAGAUGUAACGGGGCUAAGUCAAUAACCGAAGCCGCGGAUUCACACUUGUGUGUGAGUGGUAGGGGAGCGUUCUGUAAGCCUGCGAAGGUGACUCGUAAGGGUUGCUGGAGGUAUCAGAAGUGCGAAUGCUGACAUGAGUAACGUUAAAGCGGGUGAAAAGCCCGCUCGCCGUAAGCCCAAGGUUUCCUGCUCUACGUUCAUCGGAGCAGGGUGAGUCGGCCCCUAAGGUGAGGCUGAGAAGCGUAACUGAUGGGAACAAGGUUAAUAUUCCUUGACCACCGCUGAAUGCGAAGGGGGGACGGAGUAUUGAAGAUCAUCCGGGUGUUGGAUAUCCCGGUUUGCGAGCGUAGGAGGCUGACAGGCAAAUCCGUCAGCGAAUCUCCGAGGCGAAGCAUCGAGCUCUCUUUUGAGCGAAGUGAUUGGAUGUGCUUCCAGGAAAAGCCUCUAAGCUCCAGUUCAGCGGGACCGUACCGCAAACCGACACUGGUGGGCGAGCUGAAUAUGCUCAGGCGCUUGAGAGAACUCAGGAGAAGGAACUCGGCAAAUUGACACCGUAACUUCGGGAUAAGGUGUGCCUUUGUAGCGUGGAGGGAGAAACACCCCGAGCGCGAAGAGGUCUCAGAUAAUCGGUGGCUGCGACUGUUUAUUAAAAACACAGCACUCUGCAAAGACGAAAGUCGACGUAUAGGGUGUGAUGCCUGCCCGGUGCUGGAAGAUUAAUUGAUGGGGUGCAAGCUCCUGAUCGAAGUCCCAGUAAACGGCGGCCGUAACUAUAACGGUCCUAAGGUAGCGAAAUUCCUUGUCGGGCAAGUUCCGACCUGCACGAAUGGCAUAACGAUGGCCACACUGUCUCCUCCUGAGACUCAGUGAAGUUGAAGUGUUUGUGAUGAUGCAAUCUCCCCGCGGCUAGACGGAAAGACCCCAUGAACCUUUACUGUAGCUUUGCAUUGGACUUUGAACCGAUCUGUGUAGGAUAGGCGGGAGCCUGUGAAACCACAACGCCAGUUGUGGCGGAGGCGUCCUUGAAAUACCGCCCUGAUUUGUUUGAGGUUCUAACCUGGGACAGUCAUCCUGUCCGGGGACCGUGCAUGG